UCACUAUUACGGAGGCAUUUACUGAUACACACAUAAUUUGAUCCACCUAUGCACUGGUCUCUCUCCUCACUUCUCUGCCCUCAAUUCACAAGCUCAAGUUAAUUUCUCUUAAUCCAAAGGAAUUGAAAUGCAAACUGAUCAUAUCUCACCAUCUGUGUUUAAAUAACUCAUUGCAAGCAUUUUUUUUUGUCUGUACAUAUACGUACAUAUAAUGCCUAUAUAAUAAUGAUAUGAUUGUUCCUACUAUGAAACUCAUUCCUGCUGGCAUUCUUCGCAUGGACUUGGGUGGGCAUGAGAUUCUUCUCUUCUAAAUCCAAAUCUCUCAUUACCGUCGACGUGCUUAACCUGCUAAACAGUACAAAUUUGGGUUCAGAUCACGCUACCUUCGACAAGCAGUGGCUGAUGCCCUUGGCCUUGGAAUUGGAACACCGAUCCCGUUCCUGUGCACAUACAGAAUCCUACCCCUGUACUCAUUGGCCACACUGGCAGGCGGACACAUUGUUCACAGAUUCAUUAAAAAUUUGGCGUAUUUUUGAACAUUUACUUACCCUCACACGGAUGGUUGGAUUCGUUUGUAUUAAGAUGGGAUCGUCAAUGAAGGAGACAAUAUUUGCAGUGUGUGUCGUUUUGGCCUUGAGGAAAUGGCGAAGAGUAACAAGGAGAAACCUAACAAGAAGGAACUCCAGUCCAGCAUUUACGCCUGCAAAUUCACCAGCUCAUCCGGAGAUAUCUAGAGCAACUUCACCAUCCCAAUCAGACAUAUCCAUCACCGCUGAGGAUGGAGUACCAUGGAACAUAGGCCAACUGGGGAUAGAAUUAGUGACCGAAGAUACAACCCAGCCAGGUACCAGUAACACACCAACAUACGACAGAAAGUAUCUUUAGCAGGGUGAAGCAGGCAGAGCAACAGAUUCUUAUCGGGCAGCCAAAAUCAGAGAGAACUUGCUCGAGGAUGCUUCAUUUGAACAAUAUCAAUGAUAGGUAAUAUGAAAUAACAAGCUACC
Molecule: long non-coding RNA, 1004 nt
Filed under: Elaeis guineensis (African oil palm)
Lineage: Eukaryota; Viridiplantae; Streptophyta; Magnoliopsida; Arecales; Arecaceae
Description: long non-coding RNA (EGUI_LNC000770)
Source: RNAcentral